RNAcentral lists this long non-coding RNA (19079 nucleotides) under Triticum aestivum (bread wheat). Its description in RNAcentral is "long non-coding RNA (TAES_LNC008905)". The record is from RNAcentral. Lineage: Eukaryota; Viridiplantae; Streptophyta; Magnoliopsida; Poales; Poaceae.
CAGCCAUCGCUAUCGCGGCACCGUCAAAUUCUCAGCAGAUGCAUACACGGCGCCACACCAGAGGCAGUACUCUUUCGUAUCUGCUCAACUUAUUUAUCGCAGCAAGAAAAUAGAUCGCCACUGCUUUACUCUUAUUUCUUGUCCAUCACUUACUUGCUAGUUGAAAGCAAACAUUGGUUGCGAAGUUGCCUUUGUCCGGUUUGCACCUUCAGAUCCGCCAUGGCACGCUCAACACUAUACUCCCAAUGCUUAUGGUUUUCCCCUUUUAUAUUCCACACUAGUUAAAUCACAGUAGACUAAAUUUGAAAAUUGGGUCAGUCAAUUUUUCAAAGCUCGCCGGAGUUCGCCGGUGCGAACNNNNNNNNNNNNNNNNNNNNNNNNNNNNNNNNNNNNNNNNNNNNNNNNNNNNNNNNNNNNNNNNNNNNNNNNNNNNNNNNNNNNNNNNNNNNNNNNNNNNNNNNNNNNNNNNNNNNNNNNNNNNNNNNNNNNNNNNNNNNNNNNNNNNNNNNNNNNNNNNNNNNNNNNNNNNNNNNNNNNNNNNNNNNNNNNNNNNNNNNNNNNNNNNNNNNNNNNNNNNNNNNNNNNNNNNNNNNNNNNNNGGUGGUUGUGGGGGGGCGGUGGUGGGGACUCGCCGAACGAAGAAAACUCGGCGGGUGGGGCGGGGGUGGGGGUGGUGGAGGAACACAGGCGGUGGGGGCCGGUGGUCCGGCCGGCGGCCCGUGCGGUGUUCUGUAUGGGAAGAAUCAGAGACGAGGAAGAAGAAGGGUUAGGAGACGUAGGAUCUUCAUCCAACCACCUGAAAUGGUCGACUGACCCAAAUGACAAAAGUCACGCGACUUGCAUGCAGACAUGCCUUUAUAUUCAGUACCAUCAUCGUACCUGCUUAGCACUGCUCCUGAAUCCAUCAAGCUAAACAACGUGCACUUAUAAUUCCAAACUUGUUACACAAGUACGAAUCUGAAAUGAUGCUGAUAUUACUAAAACAGAUAACAUUUAAUUGGUCAGCUAAUGUUCCUACUUUACUUUCGAAAAGCAUGUGCACCACAUAUAGAGAGACAGCAGGGAGUUGCUUUCUUAAUGCGCUCUGGUUCAUCAUGUGUGGGCACUGCGCAACGAACAUUUUAUUAUCCAAAAUCUGCUUGCUCUUCUUUAGCAUGUUCCUCUUCUGUUCUUCUUUAAUAAGUACUCUCUCUGUUCCUAAAUACAAGUCUUUGUAUAGAUUCCACCAUGGACUACAUAUGGAGCAAAAUGAGUGAAUCUACCCUCUAAAAUGUAUCUGGAUACAUCUGUAUGUGAUCCAUAGUGGAAAUCUCUACCAAGACUUAUAUUUUGGAACGAAGGGAGUAUGAUAGUAGUACAGUAUGUUCCUUGUAGUGAAGAUGAGCAGGGAAAUUUGCAGUGUAGAGGUCUAUACGGUCGAUUGUGAUGGACACUUUGAACUCUUCGGGCCUCUUUGAUUAGUAGGAUUUUGUAAACAUGGGAAUAGGAUUUGUAGUGGCCUGCCCACUUGAAUCCUAUAAGAAUAGCAAGGAAAUGCGGGGAGCUGUGUCGCCUUUGAGAGAUACACUGAUAUUAACAGUACCACACCUUCAGUUGAAGAGAGCUGGUAUCCGAAGCCUUUCUAGCCGUACCGGCAAUACUAGCACAUAUAUUCCAGCAAGUUCCACUUUGCUGAUUUUACUCUGAUGCUUAUGGUUUUCCCGUUAUAUCUACACUAUGAUCUGUUUAGCUGCUUUGUGUCGCACUAGCAGCAGUCCACUCUUGAAGCUAAACACCACAAUGACUUACAAAAUUGGCACCAAGGCAUUGAGUGCCAUUCUGGAUGCAAUGAAACUCAUACGCUCCCCACAUGUUGAUUCUUGUUCAGAAUAUGAUCCUAAUGACUAUUCUAACCUCGAGGAGUCAAAGGCAGAUGGCCUGUCCUGUUCACCCAUCAAGGUGCCUGUUCUCAUUUGGCAAGGUUUUAUUGAUUGCGCGUAUCUUGCAUAUGUUGUCUUGCAUUUGUUCUACUUUGUUGCACCGCCAUCUGCUUAGUUUACUCAUCAUAUAUGUCGAGAUGCCAUGCCCAUCCAUUAUCAAUACAUAUUCCAUCUGUCAUCAUACCAUGUUUUUCCACUCAAAUGUUGUUCUUGUGCAUCAGGCAUCAAAAAGAAAGAGGGUGAUUGCCGAACCUGAAGGAGCACCAGCAAAGUCCUUGAAAAAUGUGGUGGUGCCGAAGAAAUCAGACAACACCCCACUUAUAUUGGUUGUACAACCAGUGACACAAAACGUAGGACCGACUCCAGCAGACUGUACCCAUACUUCACUGGCCACACCACUAGCCCCACCACACAGGACCUGCACUCCAGCAAAAGGUAUACCGAUUUCAGUUGCCAUAGCACGGGCCGUACCACAGAAAAAUCCCACUCCAGCAAAAAGUACAGCAAGUCCACCGGCCGAAGACCUAUCCCAACUGCAGAGACAGCCAAUUCCUGCAGAUUGGAACCCCAUUCCAGUUAUUCCCAGUUUAAAAUACAAUGCUUUCAAUGUUGUUAGGGACUACGUGCAUAUAUUCCCAUCAUGGGAAGAUUAUAGUGAAGACAAACACCAUUUUCACAUCUUCCUGUCCAACUUACGUGUAAGUGCUAUUGUUCAUGGUUAUUAUUUUCCUAUUUUCUGCUUAUUGAACACAUCAAUGAUUUACAUUACAUUGUUGUAAGUGGGCGAGGAUCAAUCUGGAUAGUCAUGACGAGCAAAGCUUGCUUGUGCUUUUCAAGGAAGCAUUGCAGCAGUAUCGGUGUUACCUGAGGAAAUCACACUUUGAUGGCAAGUCUAUAAACGAAUUUCCGGUGAAGUCUCCUGUGCUAAAUUUAGAAGUCAUUGAAUGGAAAAACCUUGUUAUGCACUGGCCUCGUUCACAGGAUGAGGUACUGUCGAUGAAAUCACAGGACAAUUUGAACUUCUACUUUUCCGCAUGUGCCUUACGGAUCUUUUUUGCAGGAAAUCUGCUCGAAGAAGAAUUCCGGUUUGAAAAGAGCGACAGGAUAUCGCAGAUAUGCUGCCCGAUGCUUUGCUCUUGUUAGUACAUGUUGUCCUGUAUCACUGUACUUGCAUACAUAUCUGGUUCAUUAUGUGACAGCAGUAUGCAUGAUAGCUUGCUUAUCAAUUGUUCACUCCAAAUUAUGUGAUCUGUAUAAAUGGUUACAUUAGUGUAGAAUAUAUCCAAUGCCAAUGAAAUAUUUUAGCUCUGCAUUGUUCUUGUAAGUACUUGUUGUCCUUUAUCAGUGUACUUAUAUUUACAGGUAGUUGUUCAUGUACUAUCACUAUGCAGCUUAUUUUCCUUUGCCCUCCAUUUUCUACACAUCAGAUCUAUAUUUACUCUUACCAUAAGGUUGGAUAACACUGAUGGUACUGAAGAAGUUUAGCUGUGCAUUGCUCUUGGUUGUACCUUUUGCCUGUACCACUGUACUUACAUUUAUAGCUACUUGGUUAUGUAGCAUCACUCUUCAUCUUAUCUUAAAUAUUCUCCAUUUUUUCUUAUAUUAUCACAUCUAUAUUUAUUCUUAACAAAAUGUAGAAUAAAGGCAAUGCUUAUGAAGAAGAUUAUGUGGUAAACUUCUUAAAUUGCCCCCCCCCCAUCAGCAUGGACAAGGGCUUUAUCGAGCCUGUCUUCACCAAUAAUGUAAGUUUGUCCUUCUCAAGCCUUCAAACUUUGUUGUGUAUAUUUGGUUAGGCAUGACUGCAACAACUGUUUAUUUUUGGUGUUUGCAUCAAAUUGCAUGUUUAAAGUUUAUUAUGUAGUUCAUAAACAAAAGUUUAUCCUUCUCAAUUUAAGUUUUCAGUUGUACAACCAAGUUCCUUCUUCAUACCAUGUAAAUUAAACUAUACAGAGCAAGUGAUCUUCUUUCGCACUGCAUGUAUGCUUCUAUUCUUGAUCCGUAAUCCAGUGGUGUGGUGAACCUACCCACUAUAGCACAAUGUCAAAUUCUGCAAUGUCUUAACUAUGAACAAUGUCAUAUCAUUCUACUAUUAUUUAAACCGUCUCUUUAUUUGCCAAUCUAAAAUGGGAUAAAUUGACAGCACACUAACCAUUGAUACUUAUGAGUUCUUGAUCUGUAAUCGAGUGGUGUCGUGAAGCUGCCAACUCCUUCACAAUGUCAUUUCCUGCCAUGUCUUGACCUGAACAAUACCAUAUUGUGUUAAUGCAAUUUUAAACUGUGUCACUUUAUUCGUCAGUAAGAAAUGUGAUGAAUUGUCAGCACUGAUACUUUUAUGUGAAAAACCUGUCAUCUGUCUGCUUGUUUAUCUUUCAGAGUGAGGAGGAUAUAAGUGUUAAACAAGCACAGUCUCAUCAGCUUGCUCAGCUGCUUGCACUGCAGCUCCCCAGCAGGGCUAACCUUUCUUGAACUCUAUUGAAGUGCUGUCGGUUUUGUAUAUUAUUUUGUCGGCGUGUUUAGUUGCACUGGUGGCGAUCUUUGAUGCCUAGUGUAUGUAAUCUGCUGUCUGCUUGUGCUUUAUUAUCAUAGUGGCGAACUUUGAUGCCCAGUGGAUGUAAUAUGCCGUAAUUUAUUUAUUUUAUAGUCUAGGUUUUUUCUUAUUCACGAUGCUGCAGUUAUUUUACUGUAUAUAUAUCUUGUCUUCGCAGUAAACCGGCCAAACCGUAAAAUUACGGUACAUAAUCGGGCCGUCAUGCAAUCACGAUGUAUGAUCCGCAUCAUGGGCCCCGUCAUCCCGGUCCGUUAAAAGGCCUAAAUGUAAACUGGCCCACUAGUAGAUUCGGACCUUUAAUAGGCCGAGUAAACCGCCGGCCCUCUUUUCGCAAGAAAACUCAAUGGGCUUUUAGGAGGCUGAGAAGUAGGUUGGGCCUGAAACGUGUCAAACAGCUCACGGGCCGGCAGCAGCCCGAAAUGGACCCCGGCCCAUGAUUGUGCCAAUCAAAUCAUGGGCUUUUAACAUGCCAAAAUUGUCUCAGUCCUUGUUUGGCCCAAUCAGAUUAUCGGAUGCGAGCAGGCCGGAUGCAAACCGGGCCGUAGUUAGGCCCAACUAUAUGACGGGCUUUUAACAGGCCGAAAUUAAUAUAGGGCCGAAAUGUUAAACGGGCCCUUAACAUGCCGAAACUAAUAUCAGGCCGAAUUACUAAAUGGGCCUUUAGCAAGUGGGCCCAAAAGCAUAGCGUCCAGUUGACGGGCCGAAUCUGAUAUGGGCCAUAAUUUAGCCCAAAGCCUCUGAAAGGGCCGGACCUGAUAUGGGCCGUAAUUUGGCCCAGAACGUGGUAGGCUUUUAACGGGCCGGAUCUCAUAUGGGCCAUUGUUAGGCCCGGAACAUGGCAGGCCAUUAAUGGACCGGAUCAAAUAUGGGUCGUCCUACUAGGGUCCUCAAAGUCUUGUGGGCCUACAGCUGGGCCGGCCCAUUAAUGUCGGCGAAAUCUUGUGGGUCUUUAGCUGGGCCGGCCCAUUAUGGGCCACAAAAAUCGUGUGGGCCUUCACCUGGGCCGGCCCAUUAUGGCCCGCAAAAAUCUUGUGGGCCUUUACCUGGGCCGGCCCAUUAUGGCCCGCAAAAUCUUGUGGGCCUUUAGCUGGGCCAGCCCAUUAUGGUCCGCAAAAUCUGGUGGGCCUUUAGCUGGGCCGGCCCAUUAUAGUCCGCAAAAUCUUGCGGGCCUUUAGUUGGGCCGGCCCAUUUAAACUUUAUGGGCCACUUUUGGGCCGGUCCACGUGUCAACAUAUCAUAGGCGCAUCUCGCCCAUUGGAUGAGUGACACCUGUGCCAACGCGGAGCUGACACGUGUUUCCUCCAGCCAAUGAUGAUUUUACACGUGGAGAAUCCCCAUUGGUCCGGACUGUUAACGGGUUAUCGGAUCCAAAACCGGACCCGAUAGCUUAACGGCGUUCCGUUACGGUGGAUGCCACGUGUCGGUCACCCUUGACGAAAGCACUUCUGUGACGCGCGAUUUAUCGUCAUGGAAGUGGACACUUCCGUGAUGAUAAUUUUGGUAAUGUCAUGGAACACUUCUACGACAGCACAGGUAUGACCAUCUUGAUUCUGUCAUAAAAUCAUCAUGGAUGUACAUGCAUGACAAAAACACGACCUACUGUGACAAACACGUAUCAUCACGGAAGUGUAUUUUUUUGUAGUGAAAGUGCCAAAUUGGAAAAAGAAUUCCUUGGCCUUCAUCACGCCUUGUGUGCGAUGGCAUGAACAACCGCUCUUGGAUUGCCGACAUUCGCGGUGCCUUGGGGCCCCAAGCAACCCUGGAAUACAUGGACAUUUGGUGACGCCUCCAGAACUUUGCCACAUCCGAAGAACCAGACCGGCUGAUCUGGCGAUGGACGGCCAACGGCCAAUACUCGCCCGUUCCUGCUACCAAGCUCUUUUCCUGGGUUCCACCUCCUCGCCCACUUGGCAACUCACUUGGCGGAAUUGGGCUCCCCUGAACUCCAAGUUCUUCAUCUGGAUCGCCUCACUCGACCGCUGCUGGACCACGGAUCGCCUCGCGCGCCAUGGAAUCCAGCAUGACCCCGACUGCUCACUCUGCUCUCAGGAACCGGAGACCCUGCACCACCUUCUUGUGGGCUGCGCCUUCUCUAAGAUCACCUGGCACGAGAUUCUUUCCUGGUGCCGAGCGACGGUCACUCCACCCGACGGAUCGGCCACCUUCUUCACCUGGUGGUCUGAAUCCAUCGACAGCUCCCCUGCAGGCCUGCGCAAGGGCAUCGGCACCAUCAUCGUCCUCACGGCAUGGCAUCUUUGGAAGCAUCGCAAUGCUUGCGUCUUCGAUGCCGCAUAGCCCUCCAACACGGUGCUUUCCCGCGACAUCAAGCUCGAGGCCCGUCUAUGGGCGCGAGCGGGUGCCACCGGCCUGGCCAAUAUACUCCGUGUAACAUGAACCCUUUGUAUUGAGGCUGAGCACCCUCCCCCUAUGCUCUCUGCUUCCUUACCCGCGCCAUCUUGUGUACACGGUUAAGGACGGCAACCUUUGUUCUCUAUCCUCUCUAUCAAUGAAAUGAUACGCAAUCGUUGCGUAUUCGCGAAAAAAUCACGCCACACCAAAAAUGUGAAUCACCGGGUUUAUAAUGAACUUGAGAAAUUGCUUUGGACCCUAUGUACUUGUUACGAAUGGUUUUCUGCCACACCCCAUUCUCAGUGAGUAGUGUGUAAAUCCAUUUACUAAAACAAAUGAUGUUUUUAAUCUCAAGAUCUUGAAUCCCAAGGCCCCCUUGACUUUUAGGUCAGCAUAAUACGCUCCACCUAGCCGGUCGAUAUUUCUUGGAUUCAUUAUCACACUGCCAAAAAAUAUGGCUCUAAAGUAAUCAAGAUGAUGAAGAGCCCCUUUCGGUAAGUGAAAGAAUGACAACAUGUAUAGAACCAUAUUGCCGACAUUUCGAAUUAGGACAAAUUUGAAUAUUAUUGUUGAAUGGCAAAAAAGGUCUGAAUAAUUUGGUCUGACAUUUAGGAGCAAUUUGAUGAGCCGUGUUAGAGUUGUCUUGAAACCACGACAAAAACAAUGAUAAUAUCUGCCGAUGUUGUAUGGCUCGGUUUUGCCGCAUGAGAUUUCGUUGACUGGGUGUUGUUUUACUGAACAACGACAAUAUGUGCCAAUGUCGAAUGGCUUGAUUUUGCCGUAGGCUAAACUCUUCUGCCUUACAUGAGAUGCUAAACUCUUCUGCCUUACAUGAGAUCCCGUUGAUUGGACGCUGCUCCGAGCAGUCCCCUCCAACUCUGGUCAAGUUGGACCGGGCAUCUCCAACAUGGAUUGGGAGAUGUGUUUCUCAACUGCUAAGAUGUUGCCUCAGUCCUUUGCAAUUUCUGAUCAUUGUUUGCUACUUUUAGUAAAUGAUAAUGUGAUUAAAAUGUGCUGUGGAUUAAGAUUUGAAGCAUACUCGCAAUUUAUUAACAGUUUGUCUAAUUCACGUCUAGAUGUUUUCUAAGGAUGUCACAUCUAAGCUCCCAUAAAUAAGGCAGCAACAAGGAACAAAAAAAAACUAGGACAAAAAAAAUAGAUCACAAACAUAGUGGACAUUAGGUUAGAUGUGACAUAGUUAUGUUACAUCUAAAUGUGUCCUAGACAGACUCAUUUAUUAAAUGGUUUUCAGCAAGGGGCCGCCGGCGACGCUAGGAAUAAGGGCAACUCCAACGUGAACGAUCAAUAUGGACCUCAUCAAAUGCCGUGGACACGUCCGGACAUGUCUGCGGACAUUUAUAGGGGCGGGGGCUAUCCAACCAUAGACAACAAAUGUUCGGACCAGUUCAAACGUUUCAAACACAAACACACAGGAAAUUCAUGUUAAACACACACAAUUUGUUAAAUUUGAUACAUUUAUAACUAAAUGGACGAAAAUUAACAAAUUUUAACCUAACCUAAAAUAAAUGGGGUACCGAACGGUGACCUUGCACGCAUGGCCACCUUGGCCCUAGGGACCUCCGUUGUUGUCGAGCCAUCCUACGUGCUGCCAUCGUCGGAGUCGUCGUCUUUCUAGUGACGGAAGGCCCGCCAGGCGUUGCGGCAUCCAUGCCCGGCCGCCGCAAGCUGAUGUCCUUCCAGUGGCGGAAGACCCGCCAGGCGUUGCGGCAUCCCUGCCCGGCCGCCGCAGCGCGCUCGAUGCGCAACCACCCGGAUACCUCCACCUGGUGCAGACUCUCGGCCACCUCUACCUAGUGGUGAUAGCGGUUGCGGACUCCAUGACGGCACCUACCCUUGCGUUGGAGCCUGACGGCGUUUCUGUCCUCCGGGAAAUCCUUUUUUAGGAGAUAAGCAAGGAUUGGUUUAGUCCACUCCAGGAUUACAGCCAAGAUCAUCGCUCCCUAGCCUUCGAGUUCUUGAUCUGGCUCCGUUUUGAUGGAGGUGCUCCGACAAGGUGUCCGACGGGACCUGGUCCUAAAGGGCGCCCAUCCUCGCAUGGGCGUCAACCGUCAGAGCGCAUGAUGUCAUGAAGCUUGAGGGUGCCGAACUGGCAUUUGGGUCAGCGCACCUCGAAGCAAUAAGUCGCCAUCUUUGGAUCCUUCCUACCGAAGGGCUUCAUGACCCAUUGAACGAUAAGACCGAAGUCGCUGCUAUAGACGAACCGUCAUAUGCCCAUGGAGACAGCAAGGCAGAGACCAUGGAGGAGGGCUUCAUACUCGACUGCAUUGUUGGAGGCACAUAGUUCAUCUUGCCCCUUUCGGGGACAUCAUGACAACGCCGACCCCCAAGCCCAGAAGCAUCAUGGAGCCGUCAAAAUAUAUCUCCAAUGCUUGAGGUCGACACACUUGGGGAUUUGCUGGGCCUCAGUCCACUCGACAAGGAAAUCAACCAAGACCUUCCAUCGCUAAUGAUGACGAGUCGCCUUGCCAAGUUGGCGAUGAAGCUCUAGGCAAUGGUGAUCCUCUGACCCAGAGCAAAGACAUCAGUUUGGACCAGAGACCCCAUCUGGACCGGUUUACCGGGCCACACAGUCAGUUCCCUGGCGCACCAACUAUCGGUGUAUGAAACCAGUAGUAGUCACCAUAGGAUGAUAUGCCUGAUUGGAAGUAUUACACUAGGGAGCACACGAAGAUUUUACCCAGAUUUGGACCCUCAUGAUAGAGGUAAUACCUUACUCCUGCUUGGAUUGGAUUGAUGGUAAGGGUGCCUUGUGAGAGGGGAUUACAAUGGUGAAUAGUAAGCUCUAUCAAAAGUACUAGAUUAGAUGCAAGGUGUCUCUAGGCUAGCCCUGACCCCGUCUUGUAAAGGAGGAGGAUGCCUAGGGUUACGAAGAGUUUCAGUGUCUUAUAAAGGAGGAGGAUGCCUAGGGUUACAAAGAGUUUCAGUUGUUAAUUCGUAAUCUUUGGACUUUGUAUGCCAAAAUACUUUAACGUCUCAAAAGCAGGAAACGUCAACGCUCCACAAAAUAUUUUAACGUCAACGUUUAUUGCACAAGUCCCCUGUUUAUUGGAACAGACAAAUUACAAAUCAAAUAUAUGUAGUCACGCCACCCUUAUGUAGAUUCCUUAUCAGAGGACAUAAUCCAUCAAUCAAUUCAUUCUGCUCUCUUCAUCCGGUUUUAUAUGUUGGACACGGGUUUUUAGGUCUUCAGUUUGACUAACAAAACAUGCGUGUCAAAUUAAAAAUCUAAAAACCCAUGCCCCACUUAUAAAUCCCGAUAGGGGCAGUACGCGAUCUUGCUUCCUUUGUUUGUUUAUAUGUUCUUGGCGAACUACUAGUUUAUGCAGAGGCAACACCGAUUGAUAUUCCCGGUAAUUUAGCUGCAAAUGAACACCAAAGUCAAGAGAGAAACAGUACACGACGAAAGAUGCUGCUAAUAGACAACUAAUCUGUCACAGCUGAGCGGAUUUGCCUUGCAACUUUCAGUUUGACCAGUGACACAAUUGUUAAGCCGAAAAGUCUUCAACAAGCGGAAUCCUACAUAAGAGGGUGCAAUGCAGUGCAUCUCAGCACCAAAGAAUCUAAAACUUGCGGUGCCCCACGGAAUGGAGAGAACACCCCGAGCAAUCCUCUUCCUCUUGCUCUUGCUCCUUGUCGAUCCCGGCGUAGCUCAGAACACCACCGGCAAAGCAGACGAGUUCCAUGUCGGAGUGAUCCUCAAUCUGGGCUCGCUGGUGGGAAAAGUGGCACGAACCAGCAUUUCACUGGCCGUCCAAGACUUCUACGCGGUCCACCAGAAUUACAGCACAAAGCUGACACUCCAUUUCAGGGAUUCCAUGGCAAGUGAUGUAAAGGCUGCAUCAGCAGGUAUGUGUCUGCAGUAUGUCAAAGUUAAGUUGUCAGGAUUCAGGAAAACGGAAGGACUUAGUUUUCCUAUUUUCCAUAGUUUGACACCUUAAACAAGAAGAACAUAUUUAUAUUGGCAUUUGACACCUUAAACAAGAGUUGUACUUAAAUUAUUUGGAGUUAUCAAGCAUUUGACACCUUAAACAAGAGUCAUAUUUAGAUUAGCAUCUGAUCAGUUCCUUAGUAGGAGAACCCUAAUGGUAAGCCAAGCAGAGUCUAUAAAAAUCACAGAUCGAGAAAAUAUAUGUUUAUUGGCAAUUGCAAACCAUAACUGACAUAGUGACACAAUUCUCCAAAUGAGUCAAAUCAAACCCCUUUUGAUAGUAUUAUGAGUAUAAAUGAAAGAACAUGUAAACAGAGUGUGUUAUCAUUUCAUCAAGGAUAAAACAGUCUUAGUUAUAGGAGUCGUAUAAGGCUUAGGCAAACAGGUGUCAGAUGAUCAAGAAAAUAGAAAACGUCACAAGCAACACGAACACACAAAAACCUAAACUCGCCAUUUUUUAUAUAGUAUGCUUUAUUAUGUGUUAUGAUGUUGUUUCUUCGCUAUUAAACUAGUACCAUCUGACCGAAAUUUCCUUAUGCAAUUUCAAAAGCGAUUGAAUUACUGGAUAAUUACAAACUGCAAGCCAUCAUUGGUCCCCAGAAAUCAUCAGAAGCUGUAUUCAUCUCCAAGAUUGGAAAUAUAACCCAAGUCCCCACAGUAUCCUUCACAGCAACAAGCCCCUCUCUCACUUCAGAUACUAUGCCAUAUUUUGUGCGUGCAACAUUGAAUGACUCAGCUCAGGUGAAUAGCAUUGCCUCGCUUGUAAAAGCCUAUGGAUGGAGAGAAGUGGUGCUAGUAUAUGAAAACACCGACUAUGGUAGAGGCAUUCUACCGUACCUCAUUAGUGCACUUCAAGAGAGUGAUGUUCAUGUCCCGUAUCAGAGUGUUAUCCCUCCAUCAGCAACAAGUGAAAUCAUGAUGCAAGAACUCUAUAAGUUGAUGACAAUGCAAACAAGGGUGUUUAUUGUUCAUAUGUCAUCCACGAUGACUUCCCUUCUUUUUACAAAGGCCAAAGAGGCAGGGAUGAUGGACAAAGGAUUUGCGUGGAUUACUACAAACGGAGUAGCAAACAUCAUCGACUCACUCAAUCCAAGUGUGACCGAGGUGAUGAAUGGUGUACUGGGAGUAAGGUACCAUGUCCCCAAAUCAAAAGAGCUUGAUAGUUUCUCCAUAAGGUGGAACAGAAUGUACCAACAGGAUAACCCAGAUGAAUCACCCUUCAAUAAACUAAGCAUUGUUGGACUACGGGCCUAUGAUACGAUAUGGGCAUUAGCACAGGCAGCAGAAAAGGUUGGGAUAUCCAGUGCCCCAAAUAAGCAACCAUGGUCCAUUAAGAACUCCACAUGCUUGGAAUCCAUGGUUAUUUCCCCAAAUGGUCCAAAACUCUUAGCAGCAAUUGUACAAAAUAAGUUUAGAGGUAUAAGUGGCGACUUUGACCUUACAGACAAACAGCUUAAAGUUUCUGUGUUCCAAAUAAUAAAUGUGGUUGGGAGAGGUUGGAGAGAAAUCGGGUUUUGGAGUGUGAAAAGUGGACUUUCACGGCAGUUGAAUCAAAAUGGCUUAAAAACAACAGGAUCAGCCUCAAUGCUUGAUCUAAAUCCUGUAAUUUGGCCAGGAGAGUCAACUGAAAUACCGAGGGGCUGGGAAAUUCCUAUAAGUGGUAAGAAGCUUAGAGUCGGUGUGCACACGAGCAAUUGCCCAGAGUUUAUAAAGACAUUCAGAGAUCCUGUUACAAAUGUAACAAGUGCGAGUGGCCUUUCAAUUGACAUAUUUGAGGAGGCAAUAAAGAGGCUACCUUUUGCACUUACUUAUGAGUACCUGGCAUUUGACACAGCUGAUACAGCAACUACAGGAAGCUAUAACGAUUUUAUUUAUCAAGUUUAUCUUCAGGUAAGAAAUACAUUACGAAAGAUUUGGUUUCAAUUUCUUAAUCUAUCAUUGCAGAAACUAGAAGCUGCAUACAUUCCACUGUUAAGAAGAAAACUCUAGUAGCUAAAACAUUUUACAAGAUAUUAACUUAGUUCCACAUUUUCAUCCAGUGUUUUGUUCUGCUUUCAAUUGAAACCAGGCUCCUAUUUUAUUUUACAUAGAAGGAUGUCAGAUAGAAAGGCUCAUUGUAUUUUGUUUUUCUCAAAGCAAAUCAAAAGUCUAUUUUGCAUGCUAAAAUAUUUUCCUCUUAUUGAACAAUUUACUUCCAGUGUUUAAUCAUUCUUAGAAGUAGAUCAUCACUUUCUUAUUUCUCAAAUAUAUGAAGCUGAUUCAUGCCAUUGCAGAAAUACGACAUAGCGGUUGGAGAUAUUACUGUAAGGUACAAUAGAUCAUUGUAUGUCGACUUCACUGUACCGUACACAGAAUCUGGAGUAGGGAUGAUUGUUCCAGUCAAGGAAAACAUGAUCAAGAAUAUGUGGAUUUUCUUGAAACCAUUGAGCACUGGAAUGUGGUUUGGAAGCAUCAUAUUCUUUAUUUACACAGGAGUUGUUGCCUGGCUUCUGGAGUAUCUAAAUGGCAAUCAACAUGUACAUGGUCCCUUUUCACUCAAACAAGUGGGGAUUACAAUGUUCUUCUCCAUUUUUGAAGAGAGUUGAGUAAACAUUACAGUUUCCUAGAUCUUUGCUUAAUUUUGAACAAGUAUUUCAGUUGCAUAGACAAAGUAUACGUUGCACUGCAUGAAAAUAAGAAGCGCCGAAAGAUUCCUUCGAAAAAGAUUACUGCAGUGAUCUAACUAAACUGCACCUCCACAACUUUUAGGAAAGAAAAUCAUCUGUAUGACCCCAUUUUAGUUAAACUUAUCUUAAUGUUUCUCAGCAUAAGAACCUAGAUCUGUCUAAUUAGUACUCCCUUCGUUCCAUAAUUAUUGUUGUGGUUUUAGUUCAAAUCUAGCUGGGGAUGAACUAAUGCUAGUACGUAUCUGCUUUAGAAACAUGAAAGCAAUACACCUGUUCUUCAUAAUUGCGCUUCACUAAAGGAAAAAAAAUUAUAGCGUCAAUUGAAAAAAAUGAUGGUAAGACUUGCAUUUAUCAUACCAAGAAAUAGAUAUUGCAUAUGCUUUCAAGCAAGUCCUCCAAUGGCAUGCAUUGCAGUAUCCCAAUCAAGUCCUGGAAUGUUAUGCAUUGCAGUAUCCCAGCUUUCAAGUUUGUUUACUGUCUCAAUAAUAUCUUCAUCAUUAUUGCAGAGGAGAAGCUGGAACGAUUUCUAUCCAGAAUUGUUCUACUUGUAUGGAUGUUUGUUUUUCUGGUACUUACAUCAAGUUAUACAGCAAGCUUUGCAUCAAUGCUGACUGUACAGCAGCUUUCACCAACAGUGACUGAUGUUCAUGAACUCCAGAGGAAAGGAGAAUAUGUAGGGUUCCACCGUGGUUCCUAUAUAGAGGGUCUACUGGUGGAUAUUGGUUUUGAAAAAUCAAAGAUGAGGCCCUACGAAACACAGGAAGAUUUCGCUGCUGCUCUUUCUAAAGGAAGCAAAGAUGGUGGCAUUGCUGCGCUUGUACAUGAAAUCCCCUACAUCAAACUGUUUCUUGCAAAGUACAGCAAAGGUUACACAAUGGUGGGACCUAUCUACAAGAGUGCAGGUUUUGCAUUUGUAAGUUUAACUCACUCACUAGGGUGCUUUGUUUUAAUCUCUUGAAAAAAAAAUCUGCAUUGAAGUUUGCUAGCAAGUCAAGUAAAAUGUUAUGCUCAUGUUUCUCCUUCAAUUCUACAUACCACGUCCCCUAAGAUUGCUAUAUACAAAUUCGAAGUUACGAAAUAAAAAUAGAAAUAGUGAGGCUAUCUAAUAGCAUACGAUGAAUAAUUUAUCUUCCAGUUGACUGAAUGAAAAGUUGAAAAAGGGUGGAGAUAAAUGUCAAAGUGAAAACGAUGCCCUUUUCUAGUCUGUCUGUCCCCAAUAAUGAACUCUCACUGACCGCACCCUAUGGGGAUCAUCAAUGUAAGCUUAACUACCAUAUACAACAAUAUAGAAGAGGCAAGCAACAACCAUCACAUAAAAAUAGAUCCAUCCAUUUUCUAUCAAAAAAAUUAUAUGAGCUGAUAUUUCCAUUUGGCGCUGCAGUGGAUUAUGAUAAAUAAUCUUGGAGACCAAGCAAUAGCUUGGAUGGUAGCCGUGCUGGUGGUCUUCCACCAGCCUGGGAUCGACCCUUCAUGGUCACAUUUCCAGGAGCCUCUCUCCGUAUCAAAAUAUAAGCACAGAGGGACUUCACCCCCUUAAGCCAUUCAUUUUUAUGAUAAAUAAUCUCGGUUGGAUGGAUUGCUUCUAGAUAACCUUGGCGUUUAGUUAGUCUGUUUUUUCCUCUUCUAAAACGAAUUGCAUAAUCUGCAUUCGAGAACAUAUGAGAUGUAAUGUGGGAGGUCAACCAUUCGAUAACACUAUAUCUAACUCUGGUCUGAUUUAUCAAACAGAGUAAUAGACUUUUCACAACUUCCUUCUUAAAGCAACUUCAAAAAUAAGUAACUCUCUCCGUAUCAAAAUAUAAGACGUUUUUUGACACUAGGAGUACAUCACAACACAACAACCACAAACUAAACCUGAAAACAGGCCCUAUGGUCAGAUUACUGAAUUUUUGUACUGCUUGAGCAACUUUUAGUAUGAUAGUGUGAAAGUAUGGUACUGCUGCUAAGCAACACCAUCAUUGACCAUCUUCCAUUAUAUCUUGUUAGCUAAGAAUAUUCAGCCCAAUGGAAAUUUUACUUUUCAGGCUUUUAUAGUCAGAUAUUAUGAUGAAUAGAAUUCUUUGUGUGUUAGCUUGUGCAAGCUUAUAAUAAUGAUCUCUUUGGUAAUCAGGCACUUCCCAAGCAAUCACCACUAAGAGCUGAAAUGUCAAGGGCAAUACUCAACAUAACAGGAGAAGAUAGUAUCAAUGAAAUUGAAAAGAAAUGGAUAUAUCAAAACAGCCAUCAACAUGAGGAUAAAAUUGAUGGUUCAGGCGCUAUCACCUUUGAAAGUUUUGGGGGGUUAUUCCUCCUAACUGGGAUCGUGACAACCUGUUCCCUUGCUGUAGCCAUGCUGAUGAACCUCUACAAAAAAUAUCAAGAAAAUGCAUGGAGCAAAGAAGACGAUCAAAAUGAGUGUGGACACAGGCAACAAGGAGAAAAUGGAGAUUCACAGGAAGAACAAGGAGAUCAAAACAGCAAUGAACACGGAAACUGCAGUGAUAUAGAGAAGCAGACAACAUUGACAGUGCCACUCAGUUCGAACACAGAGUGACCAGCUACCAGAACAGUUAGAACCAACAAUAUAGGCUGUGGAUUCACACAAAAUAACAAGGCAACGUCACUGACUCAUAUUGAUCCAUAAAUCAUUCGCAGGGGAGACAAAAGUAGAAUGUCAUUAAGUGGAUCAAGCUAGUUCCAAGCUGAGCAAAGAUCACCUUCCAAGCUCAAAGAUCCACAACUAACUGCGGGGAAAGCCUGGCUGAACUUUGGGUGUGUGGAGCUUCCUAUGGAUGCAAAAUCAAGUAAAGUUUCAGUCUGUUUUAUGCUUCACCCUUCCGGGCAUCACCUGUCUCGGUCUAUCAUAUACUACUGUAGUUUUCCUGAAAAAAUCAAGGCUAUACACUCCUUGUAGAGACUAUUUCUGUACAUACUUUGUAUAUUCAGGUUUUCACACGGAAAGGAGGUGGACGUGGAUCAUCCAAUUAUCAUCACUUCGUUUCGCAACCUGGAAAAUACGAGGCAGGCAUUCUAACGAACACCUUGGCUGCACUAUCCGUCUGCCCCCAUAAAUUCCAACACAUCAAACUAGUGUUCUGCAAAAUUCCGGUAGCACAUCCGCGAACGCAUAUAGUAGGGGAUCGAAUUUCGAUCUUAAGGAGGGACGGGAAGCAAGAGUUCAUUUCGGAAGUUUGCGCUCGGCAGAACUGAUCGAAUCUCGACGUACCUUGCCGGUUGCCGCCAGGCUCGCCGGGCGCCGGAUGGGCUCCUCCAUCCGUCGAGACGGCGGGUGGGCGAACCCCUCAGCGCGGCAUGAGGAGGACCCGUUGCGGUGGCAGGUGGAGGAAUGCGGCCGCGGGGCUCGAAGACUGGGAAGGAGCAGGGUGUCUGACAUGUGGGCCUGGUUCGUCAGCAUAACUGGGAAGGAGCAGGGUGUCUAAAGUCUAAACAUUCUUAUAUUUCUUUACGGAGGGAGCAUGUCUUAUUGAGCCUGUUAUUAUUCACAAAACAAUCUGCCAACACUAUAGGCAUUCGAGGGCACGUAGAAAUGAAAAAAAAACAAAAGGAUUACGAUAUCAAUGCCUUUUUGAAUCCUAUAAGCGAUUUUCUUUUGUUCAAUUGCAUUAAAAAAAUCUCUCCAAGGGUUUAAGCUGACGCUAAAAUUCCUAUGAAAUAUAGAAUCCUUGGAAAAAAAUCAUGUAGGAUUCAACGACCACCAUAAGAAAAAAAAUUCCUAAAGAUUCCAAAUUUCUAUAAAAAUCAUUUCCUAAUUCUCAAACGUCCAGCAUAAUCAUUCAGCUACUUGCGACCACAAAACAAAGGCACAUUAACUUGACAUUACAGCAUGAAAUGCUUCUUGGGCCAAAGUAGGAGGUUAUUUAUAGAAUACAAUUUGAUAUGGAUUUACAACAAAAUCGUCUGCAUCGCCAUUGACUAACUUAUUGCUUUUCAUUUUUGAGAUGAGAGGAAUCGACUAGCUACAUUUACACAAGCGCCUAGAAUGGUGCAUAGUUUUUACAAACAAAAGACAUACACAUGGUACACACACACAACUAUGGAAGCAUAGUAGCAGAGUAGGAGGAGCAUCUUGCAGUGCCCGAGUUCCUUGACUUCCUCGCGAUCCCACGGUUAAUUAAUUGAGAAAUCUGUCUAGCUCAGUCUUCCUGGGCUAGGGAAUUUCCUUGAAUUUGCACCUUUAAAAUUACAGGGGUCUCUCCUCCUACACCACACAAAUAGUCAAUACUUUUGCACCUUUUGUGUUGUUGCAAAUUCACAUAUUGUGGCACGAAAGGUGACUCAACUUUGCCAGUUGCAGAUGGUCUGUCGAUAUUUUCAUCAGCACACAACUUUUCUCCGCGCAGAAAAUAAAUAAAUAGACAAUUUCUCUGUUGGUAUCGCUUGUAGUACACUAAUAUGAUUGCCGUAAUGUAGUGCACUCUUGAUAUACACCUCCUUGGCAUCUAAAAUGUUAUUAUAGAGAUCAGAUAGCUCAAAUGCAUGUGCAAGUUCUUGUCUGACUUUGUCAUCAUUGGUCUAGAAAAUUAUAGGUUUCCACUCAACAGCCAUGCUAAAUUACUCCCUGUGGGCCGGUAUAUUAGCCGGGCAUGAAUAUUUAGGUCUUCAAUUUAAAUAGGGAAACAUGUAUUAUAUUUUAUAUAAAAUACUCCCUACAUCCUAAAAUAAGUGACUCAACUUUGUACUAACUUUAUAUCUUUAGAUUCGUUGUCAAAUGUAGUUUCUAACCAUAUAUUUUUUAUGUUAAAUCAAAGACCUAAAAACCUAAAAAAAAAAGAUUUUGGUAGUUUACGUAGAAACCCGUGCCGAAUAAUAUACCGCUCCACAAGGAGUGGAUUAAAUAGAAAAUUAGUUUUUUUAACGAACCACCAUAUAGAUUUUGGUAGUUUACGUAGGUACUACAAUUCUUUGGACAGCGAGACUACCCCGGCAAUUCGUUUUCUCCUACAAGUAAGCAAUCAAGAUAAUUCCACGAAUUUCCCUUUCUCAAAUGUCAACACGCGCACUCUGACGUAGAUAAACCCGAUUGUCACAUUCAUCUGGUUUUGACAGUACAUAUUAAAAGGGGGCCAAUUGGAAUUUAUAUAAACAGCAAAAAUCGUGCCAACAGAAUUCAGUUGCUUCAGGACAUAGAGCAAACGUUUGAAAACAAUUAGAUAACAGCUGCGGUCACUGUCAAGUGAUAUAUUGCAAGAUUGAAUGGAAGGAGCUACUGGUCAGUUAGUAUUUAAGUACCUGGGUAACAUGCAGAGAAGGAGUACUCCACUAUUAUAGAACUCUAUCAUUGCAGCAUGUCCUAAGCUAGGUAUUCAUAUUUAAACUGCUUGGCCGGCCAUGCUACGUCAUUUGACCUUCGGAAACUACAACUGAAAUGAGGUACAAAUUAGAAUCAUUCCCUCUGCAAUAAAAUAUGCAUGGCUCAAGGCAUCAAAGUGUAGUCACCUACGCCGUCAUGCUAAGCUUUUAGCUUGAAGAAACCAACUUUAUAAAAGCCACAGUAGACUUGGAUUCUGGGGACAAAAUACUUCACAAACCUUGCAGCACUGUCAAUGGAGAGAGCAUCUCAAAUCACCUUCUUCCUGUUACUCAUCAUCCACUCCGGCAUAGCUCAAAAUGCUACCACGAGUGGAGCAGAUGAGUUCCCCGUUGGAGUG